This 443-nucleotide ribosomal RNA is filed under the name Isometopus sp. 19050a-4. RNAcentral describes it as "partial large subunit ribosomal RNA". The stretch from base 316 to 443 matches the Rfam family "Bacterial large subunit ribosomal RNA", at positions 2473 to 2600 of the family's 2925-position model. Lineage: Eukaryota; Metazoa; Arthropoda; Insecta; Hemiptera; Miridae. The record is from RNAcentral.
GACUGUACAAAGGUAGCAUAAUCAUUUGUUAUUUAAUUGAUGACUGGUAUGAAAGGUUGAAUGAAAAAUAUACUUUCUUUAUCUUAAUUUAAGAACUUAAUUUUUAAGUUAAAAAGCUUAAGUGUUUUUAUGGGACGAGAAGACCCUAUAGAAUUUUACUUUAUAUAUUAUAUUUAUAUUUUUGUAGAUUAUUUAUUAAUAUAUUAUAUAAUGUUUUGUUGGGGUGAUAGAAAUAAUUUAAUAACUUUUUUUAUUUUUUUCAUUUAUAUAUGUUUUGAUCUUUUAAUAUUGAUUAUAAGACUAAAUUACCUUAGGGAUAACAGCGUUAUUAUUUUGGAGAGUUCAUAUCGAUGAAAAUAGUUUGCGACCUCGAUGUUGGAUUAAAAUUAAUAUUAGAAGCAGUAUUUUAAGUAUUAGGUCUGUUCGACCUUUGAAUUUUUACA